This is an RNA transcript of Epinephelus fuscoguttatus (brown-marbled grouper), 2435 nucleotides long. It is a transcript of the gene named chemokine-like protein TAFA-1, with no coding region annotated. The record is from RefSeq and is a predicted model, not a curated record. Lineage: Eukaryota; Metazoa; Chordata; Actinopteri; Perciformes; Serranidae. The transcript has 6 exons.
CUCACACACUCGCUCUGCCUCUCUGACACAGACUCUCUACUUAGUGCGUUGGAGAGAGGACUGAGGCUCACACUAUCAACACAGCUUCUCAAUGGGGGGACGCAGCCAAGAGCAGACAGAGCAGUCAUUCCACUGGAGCCUUCCGCUGCGCGCGUGAGAAGGAGACGACAAGUGAGGGGGGGUAAAUUAGCUCCCUGUCAUCACAACAUAGGAGUUGUACUGACGGAGAAGAGGCACAGACUGAAGGAAGAAGAGGACAAGAGAUCUGCACGUAUGUGGCUGAUACAGCAGUGACAUGUUCAGCCUCCCAUCACCUCAGAUCCUGGCCAGUUUGUGACACAGACCCCUGGGUGUUUUGCUUUUGGUGACUGUGCUGCCAAGGAUUUCAAAAGGACCCGAGCAGCAGGGGUCCAGAGGAGGUGAACACUGAGGUGGGGAGAAAAAACCCAGCAUUUUAGAUCUUUUUGUGCGGUGUUCGGCUUACCUGGUACUGGAAUUUCAGGCAGGAAUCCCUGGCUUCAAAGUAUGGAUGGAUUUAAGACAGAGGAGUGAGUCUGACUGAGCUCCUUUCCUUGUGAACACACUGCUCAGACACGGCCUUACCAUGUCCUGGUUGAUGGCCAUGUGGAUUAGCCUCGGCUUCCUGCUGUUGUGCCAGGCCACACUCUACCAGACCAUCCAGCAGCACCAUGUGGCCCGGCCCGGUCGCACCGACAUUCUCACCCUGGAGGGAGGUACGUGUGAGGUGAUUGCCGCCCACCGAUGCUGUAACAAGAAUCGCAUCGAGGAGCGUUCGCAGACAGUCAAGUGCUCCUGUUUACCGGGGAAAGUGGCCGGGACGACACGCAACAAACCCUCCUGUGUGGAUGCGUCCAUUGUAAUUGGGAAAUGGUGGUGUGAGAUGGAACCGUGUCUGGAGGGAGAGGAGUGUAAGACUCUGCCUGACAACUCUGGAUGGAUGUGCUCCUCUGGGAACAAAAUCAAGACUACAAGAAACACCCAGCCAUACUCCCCUUUUUAGCUUCCGGAAGCAAAAUGCAGAGGAUGGGUCAACAGAAAUUGAGCUGCAUUCUUGCUUCUGUAAAGAUUCAUCCCAGGACCUAACAGAGAGCUCCCAUUGCAGGGCCGCGUGCCAGGCUCUUCCCUUCAUCUACCCUUUCUCUUCCCACCGAACGGACUAAAACUAUUACAUCCACGGCUACUGACUGGAUUACCUGGGACCACAGAAAGGAUAUCCACCCAGAUAAAACAGCUUUGCUCGCGUGGUGCCAAGGAUUUGAAACCAGACUAAUCCCCUGUUUGAUCAAUGAGCCCCAUGUUGGUGACUCUCCUCUUCCACACAGCUGUGGCCAGUUUCCGACCUACUCUCCCUCCGUUUCCCUCACUCUGUCUCCCUCUCGAAAACUGAAAAAAAACUUAGCAGGGGUUAUUUAGAGGUUGUUAAAACAUUAUGUGAAGACAUUUGCCCUGCCUGAAGGUAAACCAGUUUAGGAGCUUACAUGGACCUAAACAUGGGAUCAAGAGAACUGAGGGCAAAAGGAGGGAAAUUACCUUGAUAUCCUUUUAUUUCUGUGUGGAAGACAUUUGUUUUUGACUCGCUACCCCCAGCAGGACAGCGUGGCUGUGACAACGCUGUAGAGGUUUGGUUGAAAAACACUGGAUUAUCAGUGACGGACACCACUAGCAGCCUAUGAUGAGUUAAUGAAGAAUCUUUGUGAGGCUUUGGGAUCCUCGUGGCCUCGCCUUCAUCCUUCACAAUGGACAUUUUGACUUUUAUUCGUGGGCAUGCCCGAUGUAAAUUCAUGAGCACUCCUUUUCUUUGUAUGUAAAAUAAUUUGUGUAUAUAUACAUAUAUAAAUACAUCACAUAUAAGGUGACAGAUCCAAGAAGCUGCAAAAUAUAUUUAAGACUCUAUUAGGAGCUCGAGCCCCAUGGUGGAAUAUUGAUCAGCCACUGAAUAUAAGUACAGUUCAUACUUAGUCAGAGGCUGGUGUCUAAGUACAGUGUGUAUAGGACUGCUUUGCAGUAUGCUUGCUUUGGAAAAAGCCACAACAGAGUCAUUAAAAUAAGUAUUGUUCACUUUUGUCAUUCAGCAAUGUCCUUGGUUAAGCCAGAAAACGCUUGUAGUUUUUGUAAAGAUGAGGAAAACACUGUAUAGAACUGCCUCACAAAAGAAAGCGGCACUAACAACAACCUCUGAGCUUAGGGCAGCAGGGAGAUAGAGCAACAGUGGGACAAACUAGGACCAUAAUCGGACAGUUAGUGUCCAUUUCUGUUGUGGAAAGUGGUCAUGGGCAGCUGCUUGACUGCGUCUGUCGUGUAGAUCUCCUUCUCACACACCAGAGAGAGAUGAUUUAUUCAAAAAGACAGUGAGAAAGUAUUAGUCACAAUGGAGAAACAUACAGUUAUCCCCCAGUAGAUAUAAGUACAUUACA